RNAcentral lists this ribosomal RNA (172 nucleotides) under Eutreptiella gymnastica. RNAcentral's name for it is "partial Eukaryotic large subunit ribosomal RNA". Lineage: Eukaryota; Euglenozoa; Euglenophyceae; Eutreptiales; Eutreptiaceae. The record is from RNAcentral.
GACUCUUCUUGUCUUUUCACCUGCAGCCAGCGUUGGAUUGUUCACCCACCAACAGGGAAUGUGCUGAGAUGACUGUCAUCAGACAAGCCAAUCUCAUCUCUUUGCGCUGUUGCAAGAGCUGUUUGCUGGGUUUUGUUUCGAGGCCCUUGCCAUGCAUCUGGUUUCUGUAGCU